GGCAACUGUCAUGGUGAUAAUGGCCAUACUCACAUCAUAUCACCCAUGGGUGUGGCUACCUCUGGUCACCCAGUGCCACACCACAGUCAUCCCAGAGUCCCUGUCCUGUCCCCAUCCCCACGUCCCUGUCUCUUGUGUCCCUCUCCCUAUGUCGUGUCCCCCAUGUUCCCCAGUCCCCGUUAAAGUGUCCCUGUCAACUUGUGCCCGCCCUUGUGGUCCCUGUGGCCCCUGUGGUCCUUGUGGCCCCUGUGGUCCUUGUGGUCCCUGUGUCCCUGUGACUUCAUCUGUAUAUCCCUGUGUGUCCAUUCCUGUGUUUCCCUCUGUCCCUGUCCCUGUGUGUCCACCCCUCUGUCCUCGUCCCUGUCUUCCUGUAUCCCCCUGUGCCUCUGUUCCUGUCCCUGUGUGUCCACCCCUGUGCCCUCGUCCUUGUCUCCCUGUGUCCCCUUGUGCCUCAGUCCCUGUCCCAGUGUGUCCACCCCUAUGUGCCCGCCCCUGUCUCCCUGUGUCCCCAUGUACCUCUGUCCCUGUUCCUGUGUGUCCACCUGUAUGUCCACCUGUGUGUCCACCUGUAUGUCCACCUCUGUGUCCGCCUCUGUGUCCCCGUCCCUGUCUCCCCGUGUCCCCAUGUACUACUGUCCCUGUAUGCCCACCCCUGUGUCCUCGCCCCUGUCUCCCCGUGUCCCCAUGUUCUAAUCCCUGUGUGCCUAUGUACCCAUCCUCAUAUUACUAUGUUCCCAAGUUCCCCUGUCCCCGUGUCCCCGUGUCUCUGUUCCUGUGUCCCCGAGCCCGUGUCCAAGGCUGCCUGUCUCGUGUUGAAUAGUGCUGCCCUUGUAGGGUGGGACCAGGAAAGGGCACAAGGACUUGCAGUGCCCCUUCCCUAAGCUGUCCUUCCAUCCUGUCCCCUAUCCUGUCUGUCAGCUUUGGCGCCUGAUCCCAAGCCUGCCACCAUAGACCUGCCACAUCCCUUCCAAGGCCCCCAGGCAGCACUUCCAUGCCUGGGGGGUGGACUCCAGGAAGGCCCAGGAGGUGCAUUCUGUGGCCCUCUGCCACUGUCCUGCUGUACUGGAUGGCCUUGAACAUCUGGAGGAGCGGGGCUCUAAUCGAACAGGCCGAAUCCCAUGUUGUUGUCCAACUCUUCAGACUCGUCCUUCUUCUCGUCCUUCUCCUCGGCUGCAGCACGAGCUUUGGAUCCCUAGGCGGCAGAAAUGGCCACAGCCCCACUGGUGGGGACACUGGCCAGCUUGCCAAUACCCAUAGCAUCAGAGGACAGUGAUCAGGAGCAGGUGGCCAGCCACAGGUCGGGCUCAGAGGAAUGGAAGGAGGGAGCAGGCCAUGAAGACAAAAUGCAGGUCAGGGAUACACAGCCCUAAAGCCGAAGACUGAGUGAUGCAUCCGGGGCAUUGGCCCAGACCCAGGGAGGAUGGACAAUUGUAAGAUGAGGACAAAAAGCCAUUGGAUGCUCCAAGCAGUUCACAGCCACCAAGGCAUGUAGUCUUGGGGACUCCACAUAGUGGGGCUCUCCAUUUCCUGGUGUGGGGCUGUCCCCCUGCACCAGGCCCAGCAGGUGACAAGUCUCAGGUUACAGGGGCCAGUGGCAAAGGUUGCAGAGGGUCCUCCAGGCCCAGGAGACACAAGCUCAGCAGAGACCUUUUAGGGCUGUAGAUCUGAGCCUGAAUGAAGAUGGCUGUAUAGCACAGGCAACUAUUGGGCCAAUCUGUCUGGGCAACGAAGGUCAUACGGACAAGGAGGAGACCUCCAUGACACCAUCAACCAUGUCAGCUCCAGAAAGGUCCCAGAAGACCAUGGGAGCUGUCACACCCAACCCAUGGGCUUCCAAGGUCCAGGACACACCUGCAGGUCUCUCUGCACAUGGGGACCACACACAGCACUCAGGGUGAUAGGAUGACCCUGAAGGUCACACUGCCACCACAUCUUCUCCUGUAUUUUGACUGUGGUCCUCCAGCUCUGCCAUCCAGUCCCCACAACCCAGAUGGUCCAGUGUCCUCCAGCACCAGCUCCAGGCUCCCUGGGGUCAUGUGCUAGGCUGGUCCAACACCCACCCUCCUACUCAAGGCACCAGCUAAGAGGUGCCUGAACUGCCCUUAAUCUUAUCUGUGCUGCAAAGACACAGCAGUUGGAUCAGCCCUCAGCCACAGCCUAGGACACAGGUUCCACCAGGCCAUCAACCUGAGCCUCAGGCCCAGCAGAGGCCCCAGGAAGCUGGGCCUCAGAGCCCCCAGCACUGAAGCCAGGUGCCAGGCCAUUCAGGGACUGCAUGCACAGAAGCUCCUGAGGAGGACGUGGCCCCUGGACCUGAACCACAUGGAGAGGAAGGGUGGCCACAGUCCCCAGGAGCAGAAGCACUGCCCCAGCCUGGAGACCAGAAAGGACAGGCCAAGUGGACCUUCCUCAGUGCUCCCACAAGCUCCCACCCCACCCGAUGCGAUGCCAGGCACCUGAUGGUUCCCUGCAAGGCCUCUUCCUGGCGGUGAGCAGUGUCUUCCUGCUGACUGGCGGCUUCCUUUCCAGUCUUGGCCCCGGCCUGCUCCUGGCUUUGCCUCCUGUUGGGCUCUUUAUCAGGUGCUCUCAUCUGCAGUUUGGGUGGUCCCCGUCGGAAAUGCCUCUGAGGUUUCUAGUCAAAACAAGAGUCACCCCUGAACAUUC
This is a long non-coding RNA of Erinaceus europaeus (western European hedgehog), 2664 nucleotides long. RefSeq lists it as uncharacterized. The transcript is spliced from 4 exons. The record is from RefSeq and is a predicted model, not a curated record. NCBI's taxonomy places the organism in Eukaryota, Metazoa, Chordata, Mammalia, Eulipotyphla, Erinaceidae.